RNAcentral lists this ribosomal RNA (324 nucleotides) under uncultured Lactobacillus sp. RNAcentral describes it as "bacterial SSU rRNA". It matches the Rfam family "Bacterial small subunit ribosomal RNA", at positions 223 to 524 of the family's 1533-position model. The record is from RNAcentral. Lineage: Bacteria; Bacillati; Bacillota; Bacilli; Lactobacillales; Lactobacillaceae.
GGGAUGGCCCGCGGUGCAUUAGCUAGUUGGUAAGGUAAAGGCUUACCAAGGCGAUGAUGCAUAGCCCGAGUUGAGAGACUGAUCGGGCCACAUUGGGGACUGAGACACGGGGCCCAAACUCCUACGGGGGGAGGGGCAGCAGUAGGGGGAAUCUUCCACAAUGGACGCAAGUCUGAUGGAGCAACGCCGCGUGAGUGAAGAAGGUUUCGGAUCGUAAAGCUCUGUUGUUGGUGAAGAAGGAUAGGAGGUAGUAACUGGUCCUUUAUUUGACGGUAAUCAACCAAGAAAGUCACGGACUAACUACGUGCCAGCAGCCGCGGUAAU